RNAcentral lists this transfer RNA (77 nucleotides) under Escherichia coli. RNAcentral's name for it is "tRNA-Met". It matches the Rfam family "tRNA". From Rfam's summary of the family: Transfer RNA (tRNA) molecules are approximately 80 nucleotides in length. Their secondary structure includes four short double-helical elements and three loops (D, anti-codon, and T loops). The record is from RNAcentral. Lineage: Bacteria; Pseudomonadati; Pseudomonadota; Gammaproteobacteria; Enterobacterales; Enterobacteriaceae. RNAcentral also lists the same sequence under 21 other names.
CGCGGGGUGGAGCAGCCUGGUAGCUCGUCGGGCUCAUAACCCGAAGGUCGUUGGUUCAAAUCCGGCCCCCGCAACCA